RNAcentral lists this unclassified non-coding RNA (240 nucleotides) under soil metagenome. Its description in RNAcentral is "partial contains 5.8S ribosomal RNA, internal transcribed spacer 2, and large subunit ribosomal RNA". The record is from RNAcentral.
AAGACUAUAGACCUGCGGAGUACCUGCGGAGGGAUCAUUACCGAGUGCGGGCCCUCUGGGUCCAACCUCCCACCCGUGUUUAUUGUACCUUGUUGCUUCGGCGGGCCCGCCAUUCUGGCCGCCGGGGGGCUUGCCCCCGGGCCCGCGCCCACCGAAGACACCCUCGAACUCUGUCUGAAGAUUGUAGUCUGAGUGGAAUUAUAAAUUAUUAAAACUUUUAGCAAUGGAUCUCUAGAUCGG